This 253-nucleotide ribosomal RNA is filed under the name uncultured bacterium. RNAcentral describes it as "partial 16S ribosomal RNA". It matches the Rfam family "Bacterial small subunit ribosomal RNA", at positions 524 to 776 of the family's 1533-position model. The record is from RNAcentral.
UACGGGGGGGGCAAGCGUUGUUCGGAAUUACUGGGCGUAAAGGGCUCGUAGGCGGCCAACUAAGUCAGACGUGAAAUCCCUCGGCUUAACCGGGGAACUGCGUCUGAUACUGGAUGGCUUGAGGUUGGGAGAGGGAUGCGGAAUUCCAGGUGUAGCGGUGAAAUGCGUAGAUAUUCGGAAGAACACCAGUGGCGAAGGCAGCUCACUGGACCGGUAUUGACGCUGAGGUGCGAAAGCGUGGGGAGCAAACAGG